Molecule: ribosomal RNA, 468 nt
Filed under: uncultured bacterium
Lineage: Bacteria
Description: partial 16S ribosomal RNA
Rfam family: Bacterial small subunit ribosomal RNA
Source: RNAcentral
GACGAACGCUGGCGGCGUGCUUAACACAUGCAAGUCGAACGGAAAGGCCCUGCUUUUGUGGGGUGCUCGAGUGGCUAACGGGUGAGUAACACGUGAGUCACCUGCCCUUGACUUUGGGAUAACUUCAGUAAACUGGGGCUAAUACCGGAUAUUAGCUCCUGCUGCAUGGUGGGGGUUGGAAAGUUUCGGCGGUUGGGGAUGGACUCGCGGCUUAUCAGCUUGUUGGUGGGGUAGUGGCUUACCAAGGCUUUGACGGGUAGCCGGCCUGAGAGGGUGACCGGCCACAUGGGGACUGAGAUACGGCCCAGACUCCGACGGGAGGCAGAAGUGGGGAAUAGUGGACAAAGGGCGGAAGCCUGAGGCAGCAACGCCGGGUGCGGGAUGACGGACUUCGGGUUGUAAACAGCUUUCGCCUGUGACGAAGCGUGAGUGACGGUAAUGGGUAAAGAAGCACCGGCUAACUACGUG